Molecule: ribosomal RNA, 253 nt
Filed under: uncultured bacterium
Lineage: Bacteria
Description: partial 16S ribosomal RNA
Rfam family: Bacterial small subunit ribosomal RNA
Source: RNAcentral
GACAGAGGGUGCAAACGUUGUUCGGAAUUACUGGGCGUAAAGCGUGUGUAGGCGGCUAGGUAAGUCGGAUGUGAAAGCCCCGGGCUCAACCCGGGAAGUGCACUCGAUACUGCCUAGCUUGAGUAUCGGAGAGGUUGGUGGAAUUCUCGGUGUAGAGGUGAAAUUCGUAGAUAUCGAGAGGAACAUCUGUGGCGAAGGCGGCCAACUGGACGAAUACUGACGCUGAGACACGAAAGCGUGGGGAGCAAACAGG